UCCCAGCGAGUCCAGAGGGUGCAUCUUUGUAUCCCUCCAGGCCGCGCUGGUAGGCAGUCUAUAGCUGGCUCUGUCCUCCGGAAGCAGCUUGGGCGCAAUGGAAACUGUUAUAGCUAAGUGUUGGUCAAAUGUUCCUUCCGCAUUCCUGGCAACAUCAGAAAGUUGAGUGAAGAAGAUGAUUAUUGGUAGAGGGGAGUAAUAUGGGUGUGACAAAGGUUGUGCUUGGUUGUC
RNAcentral lists this ribosomal RNA (231 nucleotides) under uncultured eukaryote. Its description in RNAcentral is "partial 18S ribosomal RNA". The record is from RNAcentral.